GACGAACGCUGGCGGCGUGCUUAACACAUGCAAGUCGAACGGAAAGGCCCUGCUUUUGUGGGGUGCUCGAGUGGCGAACGGGUGAGUAACACGUGAGUAACCUGCCCUUGACUUUGGGAUAACUUCAGGAAACUGGGGCUAAUACCGGAUAGGAGCUCCUGCUGCAUGGUGGGGGUUGGAAAGUUUCGGCGGUUGGGGAUGGACUCGCGGCUUAUCAGCUUGUUGGUGGGGUAGUGGCUUACCAAGGCUUUGACGGGUAGCCGGCCUGAGAGAGUGACCGGCCACAUUGGGACUGAGAUACGGCCCAGACUCCUACGGGAGGCAGCAGUGGGGAAUAUUGCACAAUGGGCGGAAGCCUGAUGCAGCAACGCCGCGUGCGGGAUGACGGCCUUCGGGUUGUAAACCGCUUUCGCCUGUGACGAAGCGUGAGUGACGGUAAUGGGUAAAGAAGCACCGGCUAACUACGUG
This 468-nucleotide ribosomal RNA is filed under the name uncultured bacterium. RNAcentral's name for it is "partial 16S ribosomal RNA". It matches the Rfam family "Bacterial small subunit ribosomal RNA", at positions 28 to 507 of the family's 1533-position model. The record is from RNAcentral.